CCCAUCUGCCACAGGAGAACUUCACCUGGGAGAAAACUGGAACCUAAUGCAGGAUUGUGCAGAGCAGGCAUUGCCACAUGAGUGACCAGAGCACACAGGUGCAAAGACCCAAGAUUGAUCCUACCAGAAAGAAUCUGUGAGACCUUGGGAAAAAAAGAUGAUAUCCAGGAUCACCAGCUGGGAAGGCUUGGGCUGAGAAAUGAUUGUGACAGAGCAUGUAAAAAAAGGAAGGGCCAUUUCAUUGUGGGAUCCGAGAAGUCAUGCCAAGUCUGGCACAGCUCAAAUUUCAGCUAGAAAAUCACAGGAAUGGCACUUUAUAGGUAAAGUGAUGCAGAAUCGAAGAUGGAGCACAAGAAACUGAUAACCUUAUUUUGAUCUUUAACUGGUCAUGGUAAAAUACAGACCGAAUACUGACGUGGAGAACUCUGAUGCUUGAAUAGCCUGAAAUGACAGUGGCCCAUCCUAGUGCAAGAGCAGAGUUUUGGGAAGAGCUGUUCUUUCUUGAAAUGGAGGAUGCUGGCAGUUAAAAAUACUUUCUGCAAGAGAACCUUUACUGUGAUAAAUGAGAACUGCUCCUUUGAUUUUAAUGGAAUUACA
This is a long non-coding RNA of Melospiza melodia melodia, 597 nucleotides long. RefSeq lists it as uncharacterized. The transcript has 4 exons. The record is from RefSeq and is a predicted model, not a curated record. NCBI's taxonomy places the organism in Eukaryota, Metazoa, Chordata, Aves, Passeriformes, Passerellidae.